This 17446-nucleotide long non-coding RNA is filed under the name Salvia miltiorrhiza (redroot sage). RNAcentral describes it as "long non-coding RNA (SMIL_LNC004895)". The record is from RNAcentral. Lineage: Eukaryota; Viridiplantae; Streptophyta; Magnoliopsida; Lamiales; Lamiaceae.
UGUAGUAAUUCACAGUAAGACUUAACCACUUGCCUUCUCCAUCAGGAUUGGCUAGCUGAUGAUCGGCAACAACUUUGAACACGUUUUGAGCAUUUGGCGUCAAACUCUGUAAAACUAUUGAAGCCGUCUUCACAGUUUGUGUGCUGCCACUGUGAGCUAGAAUCGGAGGAAAGAAUAUUCCUUCGACCUUGUAGGGUGCAUAGGUAGGAACGUGGUACCAGUACCAAUUGAACUCGGUGUGUACCAUCUUCUUGUUCCAUACUGGUAGAAGCAAUGAAAAAUAUUCAAGAACAACAUUUCCCUAUAUAUAUAUAUCAUCAACAACAGAACUACAAAAUGAGAAGAAACUUACAUAAAGGUGCAUUCACAUGAUCAAUGGAAGCCACCAUGAGAAUAUGAGAACAAGCUGCAAGUCUAGCCAGAAAUUGCUGAGACUCUGAAUCACGCAAACAGGGCCCGUCAAUAUUGUUCACCACAACACAAAUAAAAGAUUCACCAUCCUCCAAAUGUGGGCCAUCCAGAAAUGAAAUAAGAUCAUCCGUGGAUUGGGUAUGAAAUGGUUGCUGGUUCUUAACAUGAUUUUCCAAUUUCCUUUGGGUUUUCAACCGCUCCCACAGAAGUUCAGCUAAUGUAACUGUAACCUACAAAUUCCACAUCCAUGAAUUGUUUAGCAUUGUGAGGAUACUGAAAAUUUAUCUUCAAGUCAUCCAUAAAAAGAAUCAGUAUGGAGACAACCAUAUAAAAGUAGUGAAAAAACAUACAUAGGGGAUCCCCGUGUUCUGAUAGAACUGUAACAUUACUCUACAUAACCAGUUAUUAUAAAUGUUGAAUAUCUUAUAAAGAUGAAAUACAAAGAGCAUAGAUGAAAUUACGAUAAUUGUAAAGGGAAGUUACAAGAAAAGGAUGCCAAAUUAAGUUUUAAUUUAGACUACCCAAAAUUUGGUAUUCCUGACUUAAGAUAAUGUUUCCUCUGAACAGUCUUAGACUCGGGCACAAUUUUUUGGCACAGCAAUACAUGGUAAUAUUUCUAGUCGAUCGAGAAAUUCUAUUGGUGGUCAUGUUUUUUUACCAUACCCUUACCCAAAUGUUGUCCAAGGUAGUGAGUGUAUUUCUUCAACAUUUUCAAGAAGGUCCUCAGGCAUAGUUAAUAGCAAGCACACCUAAGUAAGUAUAAAACUCUUAUACAUACCAAAAAGUUUUUACUCAUUUAACUAGCUAACAAUGAUAUAUUAGACCUUUGUGAAAGAGAGGAAUGUUGAAGUAACAUUAACGAUUAUAGAAGCAUUAAGUAGCUAGAAAAUUGUCGUUAUCAUCGAAUUGCUGCCAAAUUUUUCACAGGGUUAGUACUUGAGAAGUUGAUGGGGAAGAAGAGUCAAAGAGCAUCCUGUUGUUAUGUCCUGAAAGGAAUUUAGAAGGUCCUUGAAUUCAUAUUGUAAGAGUCAAAGUUUCAUUGCAAUAGUUCCCCAAUUAAAUUACUUCAGCAGAUAAAGAAGACAUCCUGCAGCUUGACCACAAAAACUGCAAUUUGUAACAUCUGUGUUUUGUAAUUUGUCUGGUAAGAUGUUCCAAUAUUUAAGUAUUAAAUCAUACUAACAACAAAGAUGAUAGCAAAAUGAUCAGUCAAUUCAUUGUAGUUUAAGAUCCAUUACUAGUUGAUUACAACCAUUUAAACAAAAUCUUUGUACAGUCUUACCCUCAUUUUCUUUCCCAAAAAAGUAGAAUUAUUUAAAUUAUCUGCAUAAAAAUGAAAUAAAAAUAUCUUCAUUUGCAUUUAUUUCAGCUAUACGGUCUUUGAUUUCUCUUGUACAGUUAACUUCACUAAAACCCGCAGUUCAAGAUCUAGAAUGAGGUUACAAUCCAUUGCCAAUCAACUACUAUUUUUCCCCGAAGGAUGAGAAGAUGAGAACAAAAUGCGAACAACUUGCCACCAGAAAUCCAUGUUACAACUGAGUUAUGUUUAGUUAAUCUUCAUAAUCCAGCCAACAUCUUCACAUCAAAUUAAAUGAAGAACAAAUGUGUAAAGAGACAAGAAGAUAAUGAAUGAUUACCCAUGACCAAUAACACAAAGAUAUAACAGAAAACAAGCAUAAAAAGGUGAGAUUAUAAAGUAACAACAUCAUUAUCCGUACCUGUUUAAGAUUGAUUGACUGAAGAUAUCCAUUGAUCACUACAACAGAAUAAUCAGUUAAUGCNGCAAGGGAAAAAAACAUCACAUUUGUUAUGCAAAGGCAUAUGUAGUAAUUCACAGUAAGUACUUAACCACUUGCCUUCUCCAUCAGGAUUGGCUAGCUGAUGAUCGGCAACAACUUUGAACACGUUUUGAGCAUUUGGCGUCAAACUCUGUAAAACUAUUGAAGCCGUUCUUCACAGUUUUGUGUGCUGCCACUGUGAGCUAGAAUCGGAGGAAAGAAUAUUCCUUCGACCUUGUAGGGUGCAUAGGUAGGAACGUGGUACCAGUACCAAUUGAACUCGGUGUGUACCAUCUUCUUGUUCCAUACUGGUAGAAGACAAUAGAAAAUAAUUCUAAGAACAACAUUUCCUAUAUAUAUAUAUAUCAUCAACAACAGAACUACAAAAUGAGAAGAAACUUACAUAAAGGUGCAUUCACAUGAUAAAUGGAAGCCACCAUGAGAAUAUGAGAACAAGCUGCAAGUCUAGCCAGAAAUUGCUGAGACUCUGAAUCACGCAAACAGGGCCCGUCAAUAUUGUUCACCACAACACAAAUAAAAGAUUCACCAUCCUCCAAAUGUGGGCCAUCCAGAAAUGAAAUAAGAUCAUCCAUGGAUUGGGUAUGAAAUGGUUGCUGGUUCUUAAGAUGAUUUUCCAAUUUCCUUUGGGUUUUCAACCGCUCCCACAGAAGUUCAGCUAAUGUAACUGUAACCUACAAAUUCCACAUCCAUGAAUUGUUUAGCAUUGUGAGGAUACUGAAAAUUUAUCUUCAAGUCAUCCAUAAAAAGAAUCAGUAUGGAGACAACCAUAUAAAAGUAGUGAAAAAACAUACAUAGGGGAUCCCCGUGUUCUGAUAGAACUGUAACAUUACUCUACAUAACUAGUUAUUAUAAAUGUUGAAUAUCUUAUAAAGAUGAUAUACAAAGAGCAUAGAUGAAAUUACGAUAAUUGUAAAGGGAAGUUACAAGAAAAGGAUGCCAAAUUAAGUUUUAAUUUAGACUACCCAAAAUUUGGUAUUCCUGACUUAAGAUAAUGUUUCCUCUGAACAGUCUUAGACUCGGGCACAAUUUUUUGGCACAACAAUACAUGGUAAUAUUUCUAGUCGAUCGAGAAAUUCUAUUGGUGGUCAUGUUUUUUUACCAUACCCUUACCCAAAUGUUGUCCAAGGUAGUGAGUGUAUUUCUUCAACAUUUUCAAGAAGGUCCUCAGGCAUAGUUAAUAGCAAGCACACCUAAGUAAGUAUAAAACUCUUAUACAUACCAAAAAGUUUAUACUCAUUUAACUAGCUAACAAUGAUAUAUUAGACCUUUGUGAAAGAGAGGAAUGUUGAAGUAACAUUAACGAUUAUAGAAGCAUUAAGUAGCUAGAAAAUUGUCGUUAUCAUCGAAUUGCUGCCAAAUUUUUCACAGGGUUAGUACUUGAGAAGUUGAUGGGGAAGAAGAGUCAAAGAGCAUCCUGUUGUUAUGUCCUGAAAGGAAUUUAGAAGGUCAUUGAAUUCAUAUUGUAAGAGUCAAAGUUUCAUUGCAAUAGUUCCCCAAUUAAAUUACUUCAGCAGAUAAAGAAGACAUCCUGCAGCUUGACCACAAAAACUGCAAUUUGUAACAUCUGUGUUUUGUAAUUUGUCUGGUAAGAUGUUCCAAUAUUUAAGUAUUAAAUCAUACUAACAACAAAGAUGAUAGCAAAAUGAUGAGUCAAUUCAUUGUAGUUUAAGAUCCAUUACUAGUUGAUUACAACCAUUUAAACAAAAUCUUUGUACAGUCUUACCCUCAUUUUCUUUCCCAAAAAAGUAGAAUUAUUUAAAUUAUCUGCAUAAAAAAUGAAAUAAAAAUAUCUUCAUUUGCAUUUAUUUCAGCUAUACGGUCUUUGAUUUCUCUUGUACAGUUAACUUCACAAAACCCGUAGUUCAAGAUCUAGAAUGAGGUUACAAUCCAUUGCCAAUCAACUACUAUUUUUCCCCGAAGGAUGAGAAGAUGAGAACAAAAUGCGAACAACUUGCCACCCAGAAAUCCAUGUUAUAACUGAGUUAUGUUUAGUUAAUCUUCAUAAUCCAGCCAACAUCUUCACAUCAAAUUAAAUGAAGAACAAAUGUGUAAAGAGACAAGAAGAUAAUGAAUGAUUACCCAUGACCAAUAACACAAAGAUAGAACAGAAAACCAGCAUAAAAAGGUGAGAUUAUAAAGUAACAACAUCAUUAUCCGUACCUGUUUAAGAUUGAUUGACUGAAGAUAUCCAUUGAUCACUACAACAGAAUAAUCAGUUAAUGCCGUUGAAGCAAAGUCUUCUAUCAACCCCUUCUUUGACCCAAAACCAUACAACAGAAGCCCAAAUCCACACCUUAGACACAGAUAAUGAAAAAACUCAACACCAAUACAUAAUUUGUAAAAAUAAAAUACCCUUUGAACUAAAAAUGCCUACAAAUUCAUCCAACACAGACAAACAAAGAAGAAGGCAGAAAUUUACCUUAACAUAAAAACCCAUUCAGUAUACAACUUCUUGUAACUUUCUACAAGAGCAUUGAUCUCUUUCUCGUGCUUGAACUCAAGUUUAGCAUAUGCUUCUCUUAAUUCCUACAAGAUUGGCAUAAAAACUCAUUCCUUUUCCAAAGUUAUAUGGAAGAUUACACAAUAAUACUAAAGAAACCCCAACAAAUUACCUGCUCGUCUACGAGAUUGAUAUCAGAAACUUUGCGCGCUGAUUUCUUGCCAGAACUGCACAAUUCUUUUGCUAAAAAGUAGUUUCUUGAGAACCCGAACUCCUCUUCCUCGGGGUCAUUUGGCUCCAUACUAGAGAUGAAGAGAGGAGACAGAGUUCAGUUCAAAACUAACAAAUUACUCGUAUUAUUUUGGCUUAGUUUUUAGUUGGAGAAGAAUUUGUUGUUUGAAAAUCCAUCUGCACAACGAAAAUAUAAUACUAACAUUUUCGAAAAAAACAAAUAAAAAACACUAGACAUCAGGAGCUUGAGCCAAAUCAAAAUGGGAUGUAUCUAAAAUAGUUGAAACCUUAAAAUGAAGUUAAAAAAUUAUUUUAUAGGCCAUAAGAAAAGCAAUAACAGAUGGAAAAUUAGAACAUAAUUCAGUGCACAUGAAUUAGAAUGAGGGCUAACGUCUUCAGACCUCCAAGUAUUCCAUAAAUUUGGGCGACAUUGCCGCACACAGAAUAUUUAAACAACUAUGUAUCUAUCGUGUUGGAUCUUCUAUUCUCUCGAAAAGGAUAGUUACACCACUUAAUUUAUUUGUAAUAUUUGCAAUAGAUGAAUCAUAGUGAAAACGGUGGACUAAAUUUUUUUUACCAGAGAGUAUAUUUCGCCGUGGUGCAGACCCUGUUUAAUUGAAGACAGCAGAAACGUGAAAUCCUCUGCUGUGGCCAAGAAAUUCGCCGGCGAACCUGAAACCAAUAAAAUCUCAUCAACAAACAGCAUACGCAUAGUUCAGAUGUGCUUGUAUAAUUGACUUGAACAAAGAAAAGUAGAUGGCUUGCCCUUCUAUUGUUUGCUUCUUGAAAAUUAGGGGUUUCGAUCGGGAGGAAGAAGAAGAUGUGGUUAAAGAAUUAGGGCUUUUCUUCAAUUCCUUAAAUUUGUUAACCGCCAGAUAUUUAGUUCAGCCCGGAAGCAUAAAUAUAUUAACACUUAUUUUCCUCACUAUUCUCAAACUAACAAUUAAAAAAAAAAUUAAAAAUUAAACUCUUAACUUAUAGCCACAAAAGUCGUGUGUGAAUUUAAAAAAAUAGAGAGACAUUACACGGCAACAAUUUACUCUCUAUAUUAUUAAUUAAUUAUUAUAUAUAUAUAUAUAUAAUUUACUCUCUAUAUAAUUUUUUUAUUAAUUAUAUAAAUAUAAUUAUAUAAAUAAUACAUAAAAGAGGAGUUUUUCCCCUCUAUUUCUUCUCUAUCUUUUUUCUUUCUCUUUUCCCAUCAAUUUUUUCACUAUUUUUUAUUUUUAUUUUUUUAUAUUUUAAUUCUUUCCUAAACAGUCACAUUUGAUUAAAAAAUGCAAUAUGCAUUUUAAAUUUAAUAUAGUAUAAAAAUCAUGAAAAAUGAAUUUAAAACGAAUAACUUAUGAAAAAAAAUUAAAAUUUAAAAUAUUUUAUUUUCUCUCUUUAUUAAAAUUUUACAACUUUAUUUAUGUUUGUGUGUGAAAUAUNUUUUUUUAUAUUUUAAUUCUUUCCUAAACAGUCACAUUUGAUUAAAAAAAUGCAAUAUGCAUUUUAAAUUUAAUAUAGUAUAAAAAUCAUGAAAAAUGAAUUUAAAACGAAUAACUUAUGAAAAAAAAUUAAAAUUUAAAAUAUUUUAUUUUCUCUCUUUAUUAAAAUUUUACAACUUUAUUUAUGUUUGUGUGUGAAAUAUUUAUUGAUUUAUUAUGACGUGUAAUACUAUAUAAUAAUAAUGCCUAAUGCUAAUUUUUAUUAGCAAUUUUUAUUAUAAUUUUUUUUAACAUUUAUUUAGUUAUCAUUUAUUUAGUUAUCAUUAUGACGUGUAUAUAUAUAUAAUAAUUAAUUAAUAAUAUAGAGAGUAAAUUGUUGCCGUGUAAUGUCUCUCUAUUUUUUUAAAUUCACACACGACUUUUGUGGCUAUAAGUUAAGAGUUUAAUUUUUAUUUUUUUUAAUUGUUAGUUUGAGAAUAGUGAGGAAAAUAAGUGUUAAUAUAUUUAUGCUUCCGGGCUGAACUAAAUAUCUGGCGGUUAACAAAUUUAAGGAAUUGAAGAAAAGCCCUAAUUCUUUAACCACAUCUUCUUCUUCCUCCCGAUCGAAACCCCUAAUUUUCAAGAAGCAAACAAUAGAAGGGCAAGCCAUCUACUUUUCUUUGUUCAAGUCAAUUAUACAAGCACAUCUGAACUAUGCGUAUGCUGUUUGUUGAUGAGAUUUUAUUGGUUUCAGGUUCGCCGGCGAAUUUCUUGGCCACAGCAGAGGAUUUCACGUUUCUGCUGUCUUCAAUUAAACAGGGUCUGCACCACGGCGAAAUAUACUCUACUGGUAAAAAAAAUUUAGUCCACCGUUUUCACUAUGAUUCAUCUAUUGCAAAUAUUACAAAUAAAUUAAGUGGUGUAACUAUCCUUUUCGAGAGAAUAGAAGAUCCAACACGAUAGAUACAUAGUUGUUUAAAUAUUCUGUGUGCGGCAAUGUCGCCCAAAUUUAUGGAAUACUUGGAGGUCUGAAGACGUUAGCCCUCAUUCUAAUUCAUGUGCACUGAAUUAUGUUCUAAUUUUCCAUCUGUUAUUGCUUUUCUUAUGGCCUAUAAAAUAAUUUUUUAACUUCAUUUUAAGGUUUCAACUAUUUUAGAUACAUCCCAUUUUGAUUUGGCUCAAGCUCCUGAUGUCUAGUGUUUUUUAUUUGUUUUUUUCGAAAAUGUUAGUAUUAUAUUUUCGUUGUGCAGAUGGAUUUUCGUUGUUUUUUUCGAAAAUGUUAGUAUUACAUUAGAGAUCUAAAGAUAAACCUUGCUCUUCUUCCUUAAAAAACAUAUCAAAAUUUAGGUUGCAAGCUAUUCCUCUUAAUCCUCUACACAAGACAACAAGAGAUGGAAUAGCAUUUCAAGAAUGUUAACUCAUACGUAAUGCACAAGAAAAUUAGGCAACAUAAUACAUAAUCUCAAUGAAGCAUAUCAACUGAAAACAUAUAUAUCAAAAACAUAUAUCAAAAUGAAAACAUAUCAAGUGAAAAUGCACACAUAUCAAAAUGAAAACAUAUCAAAAUGAAAGCAUAUCAACUGAAAACAUAUAUCAAAACAUAUCAACUGAAAACAUAUCAAAACAUAUAAAAAAAGGGAACAUUAGAGAUCUAAAGAUAAACCUUGCAGCAAAUGAGCUAAAGACACUUCCUGCUCCAAAACAGAUAUGAAAGAUAUAAAGACACCAAAUUCUCUCACCCACCUCACCUACAAGUAUCAUCAACAAUAACUAUCAACAUUUUUAGGCUCUACACACAUUUCUAAACAAAAUUCAAAGAAUUAUGGAAACUAUAUGUAUUUCAAUGAGCAAAGCAAGAUGAAAUGAAGCUAUUCACACUCAAAUUCAUUCAGACACCUAAAAUAAUUAGGGAUCAAACCCGCAAAGAAUUUCACGCAGCACUCAAAAUCAAGAACAAUUACCCAGCAAGACUUUUAUGCAAUAUUUCAUAGACAAUAAAAUUUCAGCAAGAUUUCAACAAGAUUUCAGAUAAAAUAGAACCUCUUUGGCAGAUCGUGCUGCACUGCUGCUGUCGCGCCGAGGAGGGGAGGGCCGUUGGUGUCGCUGCUGUUGUCGCGCCGAGGCCGAGCUGGGAAGCAGUCGGUGCCCGGUGACCGGUGGUGGCAGAUGAUGCUAAUGUCGCGCCGGACCGUGCUGCACUGCUGCUGCUGUUAAGAUCGUCGGAUCUUCGCUGGAAAGAUGAGCCGCCGUCGUGUCGGAGUGUGCCGUCGCGCCGGAGUGCGUGUCGCCGGUCGCCGGCAACCGAGAGAGAGAUGAUCGAUUGGGGGUGGCUACUGGCUGCUGCGUGCAGACUGCAGCGUGCUGAGUUAGGCUACUGGCUGCUGCUGAUCGAAUAGGGAGGGAGUUAGGGUUUGUGUGUAAUUCAAAUUCACUAGAGGGUAGGGCUCUAAUGGGCUUAGGAGUUGGGCCAUUUUGUGGGCUCAGAAAUAUAUUUAAUUUUGGGCUUACAUAUAAUAUAUUAUAUAUAUAAUUGUUUGAGCUCGAUUAGGCUCGCGAGCCUAACGAGUCGAGUAUCAAGAAACUCGAACUCGGGCUCGAUACCUAAUCGAGUAGCUCGAGCUCGAGCUCGAGCUCGACUAACAUCGAGUCGAUUUCGAGUAAUUUUCGAGCCGAUCCCGAGUAACUCGCGAGCUAGCUCGACUCACUUACACCCCUAGUUGGGGAGGGGGAGGUGGGGUUUGAACUCGAGAUCUCACUGUUCAUAUGAACACAUGUCGCAUCGCUUGGUGUUCCCUUGGGGUCGGUAGAUAUCAAUUUUUCACAAUUAUCAAAUAAUACGACCAAAUGAUAGGUAGACGUAAUUCACCGAGCUUAUUUAUACUCAAGAAAAUCAUCUGCACACAGCACACUGCACUGAUAAAAAUAAGAACUUAAACACUCCAUUUUUGAAGGAGAAACUUGCCGAGCUAUACAAGAAUAGUAGAAGUAUUCACCGAAAGUGGAUUGAAUUCAAGUUCCGCCGCAGACUGUGGAACAUUCAUUCGCACAAUUCCAUGUCCAAGCAAGGAUUCUACCAGACCGCAAAACAAGUUUUCACCUCAGUAUCUACUUCAAAAUCCAAUCAACACACCGCUAAUUUGAUUGCCAAAUCCCUCAUCAAUUCGACCCCAAAAUCUCUCAAAAUUUCACAAUCUCUCAUUUCCAAACUGAACCCGCAUAUCACACACCAUGUUCUCUCGAACCCACGAAUUCCCAGCUCUUGUUGCCUGCGUUUCUUCAAGUUUCUGCGGACGAAUCAGUCUAUCACUCCUCCAAAACCCGAUCUUGAAUCGCACAUCAUAAUCAUUCUGCGGCUGUUCGGAGCUAGAAAAUUUGCGGAGGCCAAGAAUAUUUUGAGCGCUGCUGUUGUAGACGAAGAUCUUCGAUGCCCGUUUUCGGAACUAACUUCGUUAGUGAGUAAAAGUUGUGUAGAACCCGGUGUAAAGAUUAAAUUAUUUGAUAUGUUAUUUAGGGUUUAUGCUGACAAUAGAAAGUUUGAUGAGGGUUUGGAGGUUUUCGAGUAUAUGGUCAAUAGCGGGUUCGAAAUCGACGAGCGUUCUUGCAUGGUUUAUCUGGUUGCUUUGAAGAAAUGCAACCGUUUUGGCUCCUUGUAUGAUUUCUUUCAGAAAAUGGUAGAAUGCAAUGUGAUGAUUACUGUUUAUUCGAUGACAUUGGUUAUUGAUGGAUUGUGUAAAAGAAAGGAAGUCGAAAAGGCAAGAAAAUUGAUGCACGAUUUGGUUAGAAGAGGGUUAAACCAAGUGCGUAUACUUUCAACACUUUGAUAGAUGCUUAUGUGAAGAAAUCGGAUCACGAGGGAGUGAAAGAGAUCUUGGCUGCCAUGGAGAAAGCAGGGGUGGAUUUCAAUGUGGCCACGUAUACUAUUCGGAUCGAGUGGCAAGCGAAAUAUUUUGGGAUUGAAGAUGCCGUCAAGGUGUUUGAGGAAAUGUCUGAGAGAGGUGUAGAGGCAGAUGUUCAUGUGUAUUCAUUGAUGAUCAGUUUAUACUGUAAAGUAGGUGAUAUUAAGACUGCAUUUGCUUUGUUUGAUGAGUUGGUGGAGAAGGGGGUGGAGCCUAACGUCCUUACCUAUGGUUCGUUGAUACACGGCGUGUGCAAGAUGGGGAACAUGGAGGGAGCGGAAGUCUUGCUCGAUGAGAUGCAGAGCAAAGGAAUAGACCUGAAUCGAGUUAUCUUCAACACGCUGAUGGAUGGCUACUGUAAGCAAGGGAUGAUUGAUGAAGCUUGGAGACUGCAAAGUAUUAUGGAGAAGAAAGGAUUUGAUCCCGAUGUCUACGUGUACAAUAUGAUUGCUAAUGGUUUAUGCAGAUUGAACCGGCAUGAGGAAGCGAAGAAGGUGCUCUUCUCCAUGGGCGUGGCACCAAAUGUGUAUUCUUACACCACAUUGAUCGAUAUAUACAGCAAGGAAGGUAAUCUCGUUGAAGCUAAUAGAACGUUGCACGAGAUGGAGAAGAAUGGAGAGAACCCAAGCGUUGUGACCUACAACGCAUUGAUCCACGGAUACUGCAGAAACAGACAGAUGAAGGAAGCACACCAGUUAAGGAGGAGGAUGGGAGCUAAGGGGCUGCUGCCAGAUAGUUACACGUACACCUCUCUCGUGCAAGGAGAAUGCAUAGCCGGGGAUAUAGACAAGGCGCUGAAGCUCUUCGGAGAGAUGCAGGCGAAGAAUAUAACUCCGGAUUUAAUAGCUUACACUGCAUUGAUAUCAGGGUUGUCCAAAGAGGGGAGAUCAGAAGAGGCUUUCAAAUUGUACGACGAGAUAAAAGAUGCUGGUCUCACGCCCGAUGAUACCGUAUACUCUUGUCUUGUGGGCAGCCUCCAUGCUGCUCAAACUUAGUUUUGAAACCUCAGAUGAGAUCCUGAGAUAUUUACACAAUUGUGAUGUUUUUGUGGCUAUAAGCCUAUAAGCACAUCAUUUAUGUGUAAUAUGCUACAUUGCUUUGUUUAUGUAUCAAACAAGUAAAAUUUUGCUCUAUGACCUUUUGAGGAUGAUCUGAGACAAAACAAGAAUUGGAAAGCAGAUAUAGCAAGGAAAAUGCUUGUUUUAAACUGUGAAACACAACUAAAUAUCCAACAAUUAGCAUUCUACAGGAAAAAAUAAAUUAUGGGGGAAUAAAGUAAAGAAAAGCAAAAAUAGUGGCAGUUUUAUGUACAUUCAUAAGCAGGAGUGCCACAUUGUGAGCAAAUAUAAUACACAGCCCUUUAAACAAUAUAUAUGCAGACUAGAUGAGCAUAUCUUGUAUAAGCUUCUAAGCCCUUUGGCUGUUUAGGCACUGUUUGAGCUUGUACAGCGCUCGGCUUUCAAGUUGUCUAACUCUCUCCUUUGAUAAUCCAAAACCGGCACCAAUUUCAGACAGGGUUUUCUGAUUGCCAUCAUCAAUGCCAAACCUUGAACGAAUUAUCUUCCUCUCCCUAGGGUUGAGCACGCUCAAGAGAUUUCGAACAUGUUGUCUCAUCAGCUGCUUUGAUACGCCCACCUCUGGAAUAUCAAUUGUGGUGUCUGCAGUGAUUUCCUGUAAGAACACAAGGUAAACGUCCUCCAUUAGGGUAAAACGUGUACAAGAUACAGAAGAAUCGACUUUCUCAGAAUUACAUGAAUAUAUUUUAGUCAGUGGCGUACCAAUAACUUCCAGUUAGAAGAUUCACCAGAUGCCCGAAAUAAAAUAAAAAUAAUAAAAUAAUGAUACCUGAAAGGUAGUAGGUUGAUCCAUCCACACGGGCUGUUGCAUGGAAAGAGGCACUCUAGCACUGAAAAGCAAUUUCUCCAUUCUCUCUACUGAUAUUCCAGCACAUGCUGAUAGUUGAUAACUCUUACAAAUACCAUAAUUCUGGCCUGCGUAGCAACUGAAGUUCAAUGUCAUUUUCAUGCUGAUUAGGAUCAACAUCGUCACUCCCAUCAUGAGACAAAGAUGCAGGUCCAAGUUGCCUAUCAAGUGUUUUCUUCGACCAAAGAGGAACAUAAAAAUUAUAUCAAAUAUAGCAGCUCACAUGACUAAGUUGACUAACACUCUAAAGAAGUUAAGUAAUAUCUUGCUGAUUACAUAAUUGAUAACCAAAUGAUUGCAGUGUAGAAGGUGGGAAGAAAAUAUACUAGCGCACCACAACACAUUGUUUCUUUAAUAAGUUGCACUAAUUUGAUAUUUCAGCAUCACACUGAUAAAUUUGCUAAGGAAACAAUCUUACCUCUGACAAAGUUCAUUCAUCUGCUCCGCAUAUAUUAUUCUUCAUCAGCAUCAUUAAUCUAAACUGUAGGAUUUUAAUAUUUGACAUUCCAUAUUUAAUUAUCUCUCUCUCUCUCUCUCUCUCUAUAUAUAUAUAUAUAUAUAUAAUGUACGAAUAGUGUAUUUAGUUAAUAUGGUGAAAUUUUCCCCAUCUCUAGGAUUUGAACUCAAAUUUGGGCUAUUCGUGCAUUACAAACAACUUAUUUGUAGAUUUAUACUGACUUAUUUAUAGAUUUGUAUUGGUGAAUUCAUUAAUUUAAUUCUACACAGUAAAUUUGAAUAAGUUUAUAUCGGUCAUAGAAUCUGAAUAUUUAAUAUUUCAGAUUUAUUUUCAUUUAUCAUCAUAUUUGACAAUCCUCAUUGGAUUCAAAUUUACCAUAUAAAAUGUAAUUAACAAAUAAGUCAAUAUAAGUAUAUGAAUAAGUUAGUAUAAAUCUACAAAUAAGUUGUUUGUAAUGCACGAAUAGUCAUUCGAAUCUAGGUUCGAAUCCUAAAGGGGGUGAAAUUUUCAUCAUAUUAAUUAAAUGCAGAUUUUAUGAAAAUACCCAGUUUUUUCAAAUUUGAUUUUUUGACAAACUUUUUUUUUGUUAGUCAAAAAUUUGAACCCCCCCAACCUAUUGGUUAGAGGAGAAGUGUCUUACCAACAUAUUGUGCUUAAUCGUCAUAUUAAUUAAAUACAUUAUUCGUGCAUUACAAGCAUCUUAAUUAUUUUUAAAUUUAUAUUAACUUAUUUAUUAUUUUUAUUUUUCGCGAAAUAGAACUGCUCUCACCUGAUCCCAACGAUUAUAUAUAUUAUAUCAUGGAGUAAUUUUAAAUCAUCCUCUGAUCUCCAAAUAUUGCAACCUUAAUGCUCACGUCAUAUAUAUGCAGAUUCCUUGUGUUGUUAUAUCUACUAUACUAUUUAAUUAGCUCCAACAUAACGUGCGCAGAUAUGCAUAGCAUAGGUAGAUGUGAUUAAUUAGUUAUCCGGUUAUUGAGGAGUGGUUUUAGUUGUUUCUAUUUAACAAUACUCCUCCAUCUAACAUUGUUCUUAUAGGUCGGCCGGUGUUCUUUUAAGUCAAUCAAAUACACCUAAAUAUCAAAUUACAACCGCUAGCCGCCUUUUCAUUAAAUAAGCCCACACGCAAUGUGACAGAAUAUAUGGUAGGUCAAUCAUUACAAACUUAGGGUUUUUAAUCGUUUAUUGGUUUUCAGCUUACAUUUAGCAUGGAAUUAAUUGUUUAUUGGUUGAACUUCUCUUUUACCAUUUUCACUUGAAUUUUACUCUGUUCGUAAAUACUUCCACCGUCCUCAUUACUUUUAAACACGGAGAUUAAUGAGUGUGUAAAAAUAAAUAAAGUGAAUUGGUAAAAAUUAUUUAAAUACUAGGUAUAGAGAGAAAAUAUAUUAGUACAAAAAAGAAUAAGACAUUAUUAUUAAAACUACCCAAAAAGAAAGUAUGACACUACUAUUGAGACAGAAAGAGUAUAAGUUCUAAACGAUUUUAUACCCGUCUAGUACUUUAAUGUUACAGGAAAGUUCAAACUACUCUUCUCAUUACAUCAUUGCUUUUUACAUCAUCCCUAAGAUAUCACUAUCUUAUGUUUGCCUGAAUAUCACUGAAGAUUUGAGAGUAGUAGAUGAUAUUAUAAAGCAAUGUGAUCAAAGCCCAACAGCAUAAGUUAAUAAAAUAUCAAACAAGCUGAAAAUUGCUGAAAUGCCAGAAGCUAGAGUACAAAUUUUAGCAAAUGGACAUACAUAGUAAGUAGAGCUCUAUAUCUUCUAUUGGCUAAUCUCAUGUACAAGUUUUUGAAGCGCGUCGCUCGUGAGAGGAAUGUACAAGCAGUCUUCACCAUCUGCGUUUCUUCUCGUCUUCACCAAUUCGUGAUCCUUGAAUUCUGUGAGAUGAGCUAUUUAGAGUAAUUUGGCUACUCACCAGAAAACGCUCUCGGCAUACUGUGUAUAAAUUGUUCAAUGGCAUUCCUGCAAGGGAAAAAAACAUCACAUUUGUUAUGCAAAGGCAUAUGUAGUAAUUCACAGUAAGACUUAACCACUUGCCUUCUCCAUCAGGAUUGGCUAGCUGAUGAUCGGCAACAACUUUGAACACGUUUUGAGCAUUUGGCGUCAAACUCUGUAAAACUAUUGAAGCCGUCUUCACAGUUUGUGUGCUGCCACUGUGAGCUAGAAUCGGAGGAAAGAUAUUCCUUCGACCUUGUAGGGUGCAUAGGUAGGAACGUGGUACCAGUACCAAUUGAACUCGGUGUGUACCAUCUUCUUGUUCCAUACUGGUAGAAGCAAUGAAAAAUAUUCAAGAACAACAUUUCCCUAUAUAUAUAUAUCAUCAACAACAGAACUACAAAAUGAGAAGAAACUUACAUAAAGGUGCAUUCACAUGAUAAAUGGAAGCCACCAUGAGAAUAUGAGAACAAGCUGCAAGUCUAGCCAGAAAUUGCUGAGACUCUGAAUCACGCAAACAGGGCCCGUCAAUAUUGUUCACCACAACACAAAUAAAAGAUUCACCAUCCUCCAAAUGUGGGCCAUCCAGAAAUGAAAUAGAUCAUCCAUGGAUUGGGUAUGAAAUGGUUGCUGGUUCUUAACAUGAUUUUCCAAUUUCCUUUGGGUUUUCAACCGCUCCCACAGAAGUUCAGCUAAUGUAACUGUAACCUACAAAUUCCACAUCCAUGAAUUGUUUAGCAUUGUGAGGAUACUGAAAAUUUAUCUUCAAGUCAUCCAUAAAAAGAAUCAGUAUGGAGACAACCAUAUAAAAGUAGUGAAAAAACAUACAUAGGGGAUCCCCGUGUUCUGAUAGAACUGUAACAUUACUCUACAUAACUAGUUAUUAUAAAUGUUGAAUAUCUUAUAAAGAUGAUAUACAAAGAGCAUAGAUGAAAUUACGAUAAUUGUAAAGGGAAGUUACAAGAAAAGGAUGCCAAAUUAAGUUUUGAUUUAGACUACCCAAAAUUUGGUAUUCCUGACUUAAGAUAAUGUUUCCUCUGAACAGUCUUAGACUCGGGCACAAUUUUUUGGCACAGCAAUACAUGGUAAUAUUUCUAGUCGAUCGAGAAAUUCUAUUGGUGGUCAUGUUUUUUUACCAUACCCUUACCCAAAUGUUGUCCAAGGUAGUGAGUGUAUUUCUUCAACAUUUUCAAGAAGGUCCUCGGUCUAUCCUUCAGUCGGCUUUGCUGGUCAUGUGUCUUCAAUCUUCUGCUUCAGUCAACAUCCUUCAUUCUUCAGUCUGGUGCCUUCAGUUAAAGUCNUAUGCAGAUUCCUUGUGUUGUUAUAUCUACUAUACUAUUUAAUUAGCUCCAACAUAACGUGCGCAGAUAUGCAUAGCAUAGGUAGAUGUUGAUUAAUUAGUUAUCCGGUUAUUGAGGAGUGGUUUUAGUUGUUUUUCAUUUACAAAUACUCCUCCAUCUAACAUGUUCUUAUAGGCGGCCCGAUGUUCUUUUAAGCAAUCAAAUACACCUAAAUAUCAAAUUACAACCGCUAGCCGCCUUUUCAUUAAAUAAGCCCACACGCAAUGUGACAGAAUAUAUGGUAGGUCAAUCAUUACAAACUUAGGGUUUUUAAUCGUUUAUUGGUUUUCAGCUUACAUUUAGCAUGGAAUUAAUUGUUUAUUGGUUGAACUUCUCUUUUACCAUUUUCACUUGAAUUUUACUCUGUUCGUAAAUACUUCCACCGUCCUCAUUACUUUUAAACACGGAGAUUAAUGAGUGUGUAAAAAUAAAUAAAGUGAAUUGGUAAAAAUUAUUUAAAUACUAGGUAUAGAGAGAAAAUAUAUUGUCAAAAAAGAAUAAGACAUUAUUAUUAAAACUACCCAAAAAGAAAGUAUGACACUACUAUUGAGACAGAAAGAGUAUAAGUUCUAAACGAUUUUAUACCCGUCUAGUACUUUAAUGUUACAGGAAAGUUCAACUACUCUUCUCAUUACAUCAUUGCUUUUUACAUCAUCCCUAAGAUAUCACUAUCUUAUGUUUGCCUGAAUAUCACUGAAGAUUUGAGAGUAGUAGAUGAUAUUAUAAAGCAAUGUGAUCAAGGCCCAACAGCAUAAGUUAAUAAAAAUACAAACAAGCUGAAAUUUGCUGAAAUGCCAGAAGCUAGAGUACAAAUUUUAGCAAAUGGACAUACAUAGUAAGUAGAGCUCUAUAUCUUCUAUUGGCUAAUCUCAUGUACAAGUUUUUGAAGCGCGUCGCUCGUGAGAGGAAUGUACAAGCAGUCUUCACCAUCUGCGUUUCUUCUCGUCUUCACCAAUUCGUGAUCCUUGAAUUCUGUGAGAUGAGCAUUUAGAGUAAUUUGGCUACUCACCAGAAAACGCUCUCGGCAUACUGUGUAUAAAUUGUUCAAUGGCAUUCCUGCAAGGGAAAAAAACAUCACAUUUGUUAUGCAAAGGCAUAUGUAGUAAUUCACAGUAAGACUUAACCACUUGCCUUCUCCAUCAGGAUUGGCUAGCUGAUGAUCGGCAACAACUUUGAACACGUUUUGAGCAUUUGGCGUCAAACUCUGUAAAACUAUUGAAGCCGUCUUCACAGUUUUGUGUGCUGCCACUGUGAGCUAGAAUCGGAGGAAAGAAUAUUCCUUCGACCUUGUAGGGUGCAUAGGUAGGAACGUGGUACCAGUACUAAUUGAACUCGGUGUGUACCAUCUUCUUGUUCCAUACUGGUAGAAGACAAUAGAAAAUAAUUCUAAGAACAACAUUCCUAUAUAUAUAUAUAUCAUCAACAACAGAACUACAAAAUGAGAAGAAACUUACAUAAAGGUGCAUUCACAUGAUCAAUGGAAGCCACCAUGAGAAUAUGAGAACAAGCUGCAAGUCUAGCCAGAAAUUGCUGAGACUCUGAAUCACGCAAACAGGGCCCGUCAAUAUUGUUCACCACAACACAAAUAAAAGAUUCACCAUCCUCCAAA